AGAGUUUGAUCCUGGCUCAGAUUGAACGCUGGCGGCAUGCCUUACACAUGCAAGUCGAACGGCAGCACGGGAGCAAUCCUGGUGGCGAGUGGCGAACGGGUGAGUAAUAUAUCGGAACGUGCCCAGUCGUGGGGGAUAACGCAGCGAAAGCUGUGCUAAUACCGCAUACGAUCUACGGAUGAAAGCGGGGGAUCGCAAGACCUCGCGCGAUUGGAGCGGCCGAUAUCAGAUUAGCUAGUUGGUGGGGUAAAAGCCCACCAAGGCGACGAUCUGUAGCUGGUCUGAGAGGACGACCAGCCACACUGGAACUGAGACACGGUCCAGACUCCUACGGGAGGCAGCAGUGGGGGAUUUUGGACAAUGGGCGAAAGCCUGAUCCA
RNAcentral lists this ribosomal RNA (380 nucleotides) under uncultured bacterium. RNAcentral's name for it is "bacterial SSU rRNA". It matches the Rfam family "Bacterial small subunit ribosomal RNA", at positions 8 to 390 of the family's 1533-position model. The record is from RNAcentral.